RNAcentral lists this ribosomal RNA (392 nucleotides) under uncultured bacterium. RNAcentral describes it as "bacterial SSU rRNA". It matches the Rfam family "Bacterial small subunit ribosomal RNA", at positions 29 to 418 of the family's 1533-position model. The record is from RNAcentral.
AGUGAACGCUGGCGGCAGGCCUAAUACAUGCAAGUCGAACGGCAGCACAGUGGAGCUUGCUCCAUGGGUGGCGAGUGGCGGACGGGUGAGGAAUACAUGGGAAUCUGCCCAGUCGUGGGGAUAACGUAUGGAAACGUACGCUAAUACCGCAUGCGCCCUUCGGGGGAAAGUCGGGGACCGCAAGGCCUGACGCGAUUGGAUGAGCCCAUGUUCGAUUAGCUAGUUGGCGGGUAACGGCCCACCAAGGCGACGAUCGAUAGCUGGUCUGAGAGGAUGAUCAGCCACACUGGAACUGAGACACGGUCCAGACUCCUACGGGAGCAGCAGUAGGGAAUAUUGGACAAUGGGGCGCAAGCCUGAUCCAGCCAUGCCGCGUGAGUGAAGAAGGCCUC